AGAUAAACAAUAUAAAUUAGCUCCUUCUUUCAGGGGCCUGGCGCAAAUGACGUCUCUGUGAUAUCUUGGCGCCGUUCAGCAAGCCGCUGUCUUUAUAGCUAGAACGGCAAAUCUGAAAAGAAGAAAAUUGGCAAAACUAUCCAAUCCUUGUAUUGAUAAAAAAUAUGUUGACAGAGUGAAGCUUCAAGCGCAAGUACAAAACAAGUUCUCUUUCAAAUAUGCGGCGAAUGUGCUUCCUAACCUGAAAGACCUCCCUUCUAGAAAACACACCAAGCCUCGGGCAUCGUGUGUGGUUAAGAGGAGGCCUGGUGGGCUCACUCUCCAGUGUUCCUGCCUGUCUUAGAACGUGCCACCAGCAGCAGCACCUGAGCAUGGCACAGCGUGUGAGCCUUCUGGUCCUUCUCCUGGGAGUGCUGGCAUUUCAGAUGAAAGGGGUGCUUGGUUUGUCAGAUGAGAGCAGUGACAGCAGUCCUGGGCACCGAAAGAGCUACUACGUGGUUUGGAUGCUGCCAACUCAAAGCCUGAGGGCGCGACCACAGAACAUUGAUGGCAGUACGGUGCUGCGCUUGCUGGCUCUGUGGCCUUCCACUAUGGUCAGGGCGCCUGUCAGCACAAUGGCAUGCAUCCAGCCUCAGCCAGCACCCAUCAUCCCUAGGCCGAGUCCGUCCCCCCCGGCCCCUCCCUUGUUGGCAAGCACAGUUCCCAAAGGCCCUGUCCUCACCCCCUCUGGCCAGUCCAUGACAUCAGAGAGAAACAGAGAAGCCUCUGCACCUGGGAGCCUGGGGACCUGCUGCGGUAUGCCGGCCAGGUUUCCCCUGACACCCCAAGUCCUGGCUAUUCCAGGUCCCCCCACAAAGGGAGCACUUCACAGCGCCAGCUUCCCUACCUCCUCCCCAGUGAAGGAGCCCCGAGGAGAUGUGUAAGCUGGGAGAAGGACCAGACCCACAUCUGCCUGUGCUACUGGCUGUGUGUGGAAGCAACUUCCAAGGGAAGUGUUCAAAGCUCGGGUGGUCACAGUCAAUCACCCCGGUGAUGUAUCCUGUGAACCUAUUUUUAUUACAGGAUUUACCUUAUCAGCUCCUGUAGAAAUGAAGUUCUUCUAUAAGGAAGCCUCGCAGGACCAGGAAAGUGAUGCUGGCACAUAUGCUACAAUUUUGAGGCAAUUUCUCACUGUUACCUAAAAAAUAAAAGAGCAUAACUUCUAAACCAUACUUCUAAACCAUCUCUGAAGUAUCUAAGUUUUUUUUUUCCUUAAGCCAAAUGCAGGCAAAGUGGGAAGCCAUAGGAAUUUGCCAUCCAUUGCCAUGUCCUGUUUUUCCUUUCUUCCUUCCUUCCUUUCUCUUCUUUCUUUCCCUUUCCUUCCUUCCUUCCUUCCUUCCUUCCUUCCUUCCCUCCUUCCUUCCCUCCUUCCUUUCUUUCUUUCUUUUUCUUUCUUUCUUUCUUUUUAGGGCUGAACCCAUGGCGUAUGGAAGUUCCCAGGCUAGGGGUUGAAUCAUAGCUGCAGCUGCCAGCCUACACCGCAGCCACAGCAAGGCAGGAUCCCAGCCAUGUCUGC
RNAcentral lists this long non-coding RNA (1555 nucleotides) under Sus scrofa (pig). Its description in RNAcentral is "lncRNA (ENSSSCG00060009930.1)". The record is from RNAcentral. Lineage: Eukaryota; Metazoa; Chordata; Mammalia; Artiodactyla; Suidae.